UUAACGCUUUCUCCAGUUUCCCGGUACCAGGAGGGAGCAGGCGUACCCCCCUCGCUCCAGGAGUGCCCCGGCGUCGAGCUACGCUUACCCUCAGAUCCCAGCCCUGGUUACCAGAUCCUGCAGGAGAACCUGUACUAUGGACCCAGGAAGAAUCUCAAAUCUCAGUGAACUCUGUUUCAGGUCCAGUGAGAAGUCAGUGUUGAACACCCCAAGGUUUUAGGCAUAUCACAGCAACCAGGUCAAGAAAUGAACAACACUGAAUUCGUGAGACUGUGGCAUUAACCCUCCACUUCCCUCAAGACUUUAAAGAAGAUUUUGGUGAAAUUUUAGCUGUCAGCAGGUAUGGAGUUAACAUUAUCACUUUUCUCUUGAGUUAGAAGUACAGAAUAAGGUUCUAACAUCAUACUCCUGCUUUUGCACAGGAGUGUCACGUAGUGUGGUACCAUUACUCUAGGUUAUUUACAUACAUUCACACAUUCUGUAAAAGCUGCUUGGUGCUUCACGUUGUUCUAGAAUAGAAACUGUCAUCGGGAGUUCAUUGUAGUUGGUGGCUCCAAAGCCUCCUUGAGCUAAGGUAACAGUGUAAAAGUGUAUCUAUUACAACAUGGUUUCAAUUCUUAUUUUCAACCACCUACACAAGAGGGUGGCAAACCUGCUCACUUCUGUAUAAAGAAAGGAGAUCACAAACAAAGCAGACUCACAUCAUCCUUAUUUUUCAAGGAAGAGUAGGCUUCCUAUUAUUCAAUAAAGAAACUCUAGACACUAAGGCUAGCAGAAUCUACUUCCCUGGCGAGGUCCUGAAAAUCUCUUCAGUGUGCUGUCCCUGAGCAAAAACAGUCAAAGCUGGUGGAUGUCUAAAAUGAUAGGCUGGUGCAAGUUAUUAAUGAAAUAAAAGCCUAACAAUAAAGGACAAACCAGUGUCUGGUAGAAAUAUGUAUAAUUUACUCUACAGUGAAAACAUAAGUAGGUACUUUCCACUGAGUGAAUAUCACCUGAGUAUGACUUCGAAGAGAAAAAAAAAGGUGCUUCAAUAUAUUGUGUUAUCCAAGGAAACAAUUCUAAUCUGAUGUCUCUGGUCCUUUACUGGACAGGAAUAAGGAGAUAAAGGAGAAUUAAAAACGUGUCUUAAAAUGCUGGAGCAGUAAUAGUGACUGGAGCAUUCUUUUUUCAUAUUUUAUAGAUGUUUUCAUUAAAAAAUGUAACAUUAUUAAAUAAAAUUAUGCAAACAUUAACUACAACCUAUGUCUAUCGAAUGACUCAAUUUCUCCCUCAUUCACUGCUUUAACCACAGCAGUACAUUUAAAUGGUAGUGUUCUGGACAAAGCUGAAGAAACCAGUCAUUAACACAAUACCUGUGGAUUCAUAAUGUUAUAUCUUAUCCUGCUUGAGUAAUAACUUUGUAAGGCCUCUAUUAUACAAGAAUAAUUCAGUCUGCACUGGCUAUAUCCUUAUUUCAGUAUUCAAAGAAAGAAAAGAAGGAAUCAGCACAUCACUUCCAGCCCAAGUAACCAUAUUAAUAGACAGCCCAUGUAAAGUCUGUUCUUCUUGUAAAAUUACUAAAAGCCCUGGUUUUGUGGUAUGGCUGUAGUGCACAACAGAGCACCUGUCCAUUGUGCAUCUCCAUGCUCAAGUCCUGACAGAA
Harpia harpyja (harpy eagle) is the source of this 1642-nucleotide long non-coding RNA. RefSeq lists it as uncharacterized. The transcript is spliced from 3 exons. NCBI's taxonomy places the organism in Eukaryota, Metazoa, Chordata, Aves, Accipitriformes, Accipitridae. The record is from RefSeq and is a predicted model, not a curated record.